AGCGAACGCUGGCGGCAGGCCUAACACAUGCAAGUCGAACGAACUCUUCGGAGUUAGUGGCGGACGGGUGAGUAACACGUGGGAACGUGCCUUUUGGUUCGGAAUAACUCAGGGAAACUUGUGCUAAUACCGAAUGUGCCCUUCGGGGGAAAGAUUUAUCGCCAUUAGAGCGGCCCGCGUCUGAUUAGCUAGUUGGUGAGGUAACGGCUCACCAAGGCGACGAUCAGUAGCUGGUCUGAGAGGAUGACCAGCCACACUGGGACUGAGACACGGCCCAGACUCCUACGGGAGGCAGCAGUGGGGAAUCUUGCGCAAUGGGCGAAAGCCUGACGCAGCCAUGCCGCGUGAAUGAUGAAGGUCGUAGGAUUGUAAAAUUCUUUCACCGGGGACGACAAUGACGGUACCCGGAGAAGAAGCCCCGGCUAACUUCGUG
Molecule: ribosomal RNA, 433 nt
Filed under: uncultured bacterium
Lineage: Bacteria
Description: partial 16S ribosomal RNA
Rfam family: Bacterial small subunit ribosomal RNA
Source: RNAcentral